GAUGAACGCUGGCGGCGUGCCUAAUACAUGCAAGUCGAGCGAACGGACGAGAAGCUUGCUUCUCUGAUGUUAGCGGCGGACGGGUGAGUAACACGUGGAUAACCUACCUAUAAGACUGGGAUAACAUCGGGAAACCGGAGCUAAUACCGGAUAAUAUUUUGAACCGCAUGGUUCAAAAGUGAAAGACGGUCCUGCUGCCACUUAUAGAUGGAUCCGCGCUGCAUUAGCUAGUUGGUAAGGUAACGGCUUACCAAGGCAACGAUGCAUAGCCGACCUGAGAGGGUGAUCGGCCACACUGGAACUGAGACACGGUCCAGACUCCUACGGGAGGCAGCAGUAGGGAAUCUUCCGCAAUGGGCGAAAGCCUGACGGAGCAACGCCGCGUGAGUGAUGAAGGUCUUCGGAUCGUAAAACUCUGUUAUUAGGGAAGAACAUAUGUGUAAGUAACUGUGCACAUCUUGACGGUACCUAAUCAGAAAGCCACGGCUAACUACGUG
Molecule: ribosomal RNA, 497 nt
Filed under: uncultured bacterium
Lineage: Bacteria
Description: partial 16S ribosomal RNA
Rfam family: Bacterial small subunit ribosomal RNA
Source: RNAcentral